GAGUUUGAUCCUGGCUCAGAGUGAACGCUGGCGGUAGGCCUAACACAUGCAAGUCGAACGGCAGCACAGAGGAGCUUGCUCCUUGGGUGGCGAGUGGCGGACGGGUGAGGAAUACAUCGGAAUCUACUCUGUCGUGGGGGAUAACGUAGGGAAACUUACGCUAAUACCGCAUACGACCUACGGGUGAAAGCAGGGGAUCUUCGGACCUUGCGCGAUUGAAUGAGCCGAUGUCGGAUUAGCUAGUUGGCGGGGUAAAGGCCCACCAAGGCGACGAUCCGUAGCUGGUCUGAGAGGAUGAUCAGCCACACUGGAACUGAGACACGGUCCAGACUCCUACGGGAGGCAGCAGUGGGGAAUAUUGGACAAUGGGCGCAAGCCUGAUCCAGCCAUACCGCGUGGGUGAAGAAGGCCUCGGUUGUAAGACCUUU
This 428-nucleotide ribosomal RNA is filed under the name uncultured microorganism. Its description in RNAcentral is "bacterial SSU rRNA". It matches the Rfam family "Bacterial small subunit ribosomal RNA", at positions 9 to 435 of the family's 1533-position model. The record is from RNAcentral.